This 209-nucleotide unclassified non-coding RNA is filed under the name plant metagenome. RNAcentral describes it as "partial contains small subunit ribosomal RNA, internal transcribed spacer 1, and 5.8S ribosomal RNA". The record is from RNAcentral.
UCUCCGUUGGUGAACCAGCGGAGGGAUCAUUACUGGAAUCGCAAGAUCCCACAACCCUGUGAACCUACCGAAACGUUGCCUCGGCGGGUGCCCGGCCCCCGCGCCGGGCGCCGCGCCCGCCGGCGGCCCCCUACUCUGUCUCUGCAGCGUGGCAUCUCAGAGUCCCAGAAAACAAGUCAAAACUUUCAACAACGGAUCUCUUGGCUCUA